AUUUGGCUUAGUGCCUGUGUUCCCAAAUCCUUCAGACAAAGCAGCUUCAGAACCUUGCUUCAGAACUCCCCUGCUUUGAGGGUUUUGCUUUUAAAUCUCAUUUGUAUUAUGGGGUUAUUUGUCAAUCUUUUUCCAGCGCUCUUCUAGUUUAGUGUUUGGGCUUGUUGGGAAGGGAAAGGGACAGAUGAUGCUUUAGUCAGAUGGUUAAAAAGAUUCCUCUGGAUGAGGAGUGUUGCUUGGUAGCACACAGUUGAGCGGUGGUAUUGAAAAGGCAUCAUGUGUGAAUUGGGAAAGUUUUUGUCUCCUCCUUUAUUACAGGUAAUCAGCACUGCAUAUCUGAGAGACUGAGGAGAUAGUACUGGUGGUUGUGAAACACAUAGACAAUAGAAUAAAUGAGGAGUUGGGCUUUUUUUCCCUUUUCUGCAUAGCAAUUUCAGGACUUCAGUAAGGUAUUCUUUUCCUUUUCUUUCUUUCAUUCUUUGAUUGUCGUUGGAGUCCCUCUGAUGACGCCACGAAUCUGGGAAUGAAGAACUUCUUCAAGCUGAUUGGAAAUGGCAUUGCGGAGCUGAAACUUAACUGGAGGAAAUAUAUCUCCCGAAGAAGGAAAUAUAAUGCACUUUAAAGAUCUGACUUCUGGUGAAAAAUUCAAGCCUAGAGAAAACUUGUCCGCGUUGUUCGGAAGAAUGGGUUGGACAAUUUUCUUCAGUUCCACAGGAUAUCUGAGUGCCAUGCUGAGCUUGAUCUCUGCAGCAUGCUCUGUGCUUCUCAUCUCUUCCUGAUGCACUGCAUGGUCAGCUCUUUAAUUGCAAGCUCCCUGAAGGGCCAUCUUCAGCACUACCCAUUGCAUAGCCCUAUAUUGCUGAUACUGAACAGCAGUUCCUACCAGCUCUAUGGUAGAUAUUAUCCUGAAGGGGAGGAUAAAGAAACUGGCCACCAAGAUGGUAAUCACUAGUGGAAAUGAAGAAGACAAAGGCAGUCAAGAAAAGGAAAGCAAAGAAGAAACCAUCUUGGCAAUGCUUGGAAUUAUUGGGACAAUUCUGAACCUCAUUGUGAUCAUUUUUGUGUACAUUUACACAACGUUGUAAACUAGCAGGCAUGCAAAUAGAACAGAUAAAACGGCCAUUAAGAGUGACAACAAACAUUGCUGACUAUUGACAAGUUGUUUAAUCAGAAUUGACUCUGUAUUAUAUUAACACAUCAUAAAAGCACUGCCUGCAGGCAGCGAAGGCUGAAGCACAAUUAAUUUAACAAGACUUCUUCACGCAGUAACAAGCUAAACUCUUCUGUCCUGCCCUCUUCCUUUUGCUUUGGUUUCUGGUUUGGGGGAAACAUGACUGCAAUUAUGUAAGUUGUAGCUUUGAAGAAAUCCACCUGGGUUAUGUUAUUUUAACACAAUUAAAGAAAAAAAAAGGAAAAAAAAAAGAAAAAAAAGAAACUGUACACUAUAUACAAUUAAAAAUGUAUACUGUAUACCUGCAAAGAUGGAAUUCUAAGAUAGCUACAUAGCACAGAUCACGUGUCCAUUAGGUCAAAUGAUAUUUUUUCUCUUGAUUUAUGCUUUUACUUACAUUGAAUCUGACAAGCUUUUUGUUUAGAAUGAACAUAUGGUGCAAUCAUGAAAAAAAACAAUUCUAUUGAGCAAAAUCUGCCUAAAACUGAUAAGAUGUUGGGAGAAAUGCAGUAUGUGGUUAUUUUAACUUUCUCAUUUGCUUAACAUCUGUGUCUGUUCAUACCAAUGUUUAUAAAUAUAUAUUUUUAAUAAAUGUGCUAUAUUUU
This 1776-nucleotide long non-coding RNA is filed under the name Gallus gallus (chicken). RNAcentral's name for it is "long non-coding RNA NONGGAT007795". The record is from RNAcentral. Lineage: Eukaryota; Metazoa; Chordata; Aves; Galliformes; Phasianidae.